GGGAACUUAGGCUGUGAAUCCAAUCAAGAUCCAUGCAUAUUAGUUAUCUGUUAAAUGGAAAAGGUGCCAGAUUCAAAAAGCAAAGGCAUUCCAUUUCUGUUGGGUGGGGAAAUGAUGGACUGUUCAUUUUCACAUAUAUGUUAUAUGCCACUAAGUACUCUUGGCUGCUUAUCCAAUUCCUUUGGGUCAAGGACAGAGUAGAAACUGAGGCUCUCUGAAAAAAAUAAAACAGGAGAGGGUAAUGGUACUAGGGACGUUAGAUAUGACAAGAAGCAGGAUGCAACAAUCCAGAGGGCAAGGAUCCCUUUAGUCCAUGUCCCACUAAGGAAGGUGUGCUUACCCAACCAUCUCUCAUCAUUUAAGCUACCACUUAUGUGGCAGCUGUAAAAAGGGACUAUUCAAAGCCUGACGAAGACUGUAUCAUCCCAUGGCAAGGGGCACAACUGAGCAACUCAAGCUGCCUUAUCCUAAGGGACUGGAACGGGAGAAGGAAAACAAAACUACAAAGGGAUUCUCGGACUUGAGUAUUUGAGAAGAACUUGGCUGUACCACAUAUCCCAGCUGUGCCUAUAGCUGUAUCUUACCACAUAGGCAUUAGCAGGGGAGAUAGCAUGAUCAUGAAAGUGGUUUUCCCUGGGUGAGGCUCAUCCAUUCCACUGCGGGUGUGCUGACCCCUGCGAUUUCUCCAAAUGCGGGAAACUUGACUGCAUAAUCUGUGGUAGUGGGGGACUGCAUUUGCGCUUUCCCCUGGCACUUGGUCAAAGACAGAGAAAUAAACACAUAGGUAUGCUCCAAAGUCAUCCUUAUUACUGAAGUGUCAUUGGGCCCAAACUCACUUAAUCCAACUACUGUUCUGUGCUAAAAAUGAAUGGAAGACAUAACAUGUAAACGGAGGUGCUGCUCCUUUUCAGCAUAGUACUUAAAUUCUAUGAUAAGCGUAGCAGAAAUACAGAUAAGAGAAAUACAAUAAGAGAAAUCCAUCUGGUAAUAUACUUAGCAAAGAUGUCUAGUGGACUCACUGAAUAUGGGUAAAUCCAGCUGUU
This is a long non-coding RNA of Mauremys mutica (yellowpond turtle), 1043 nucleotides long. RefSeq lists it as uncharacterized. The record is from RefSeq and is a predicted model, not a curated record. Lineage: Eukaryota; Metazoa; Chordata; Testudines; Geoemydidae. The transcript has 5 exons.